This 468-nucleotide ribosomal RNA is filed under the name uncultured bacterium. RNAcentral's name for it is "partial 16S ribosomal RNA". It matches the Rfam family "Bacterial small subunit ribosomal RNA", at positions 28 to 507 of the family's 1533-position model. The record is from RNAcentral.
GACGAACGCUGGCGGCGUGCUUAACACAUGCAAGUCGAACGGAAAGGCCCUGCUUUUGUGGGGUGCUCGAGUGGCGCACGGGCGAGUAACACGUGAGUAACCUGCCCUUGACUUUGGGAUAACUUCAGGAAACUGGGGCUAAUACCGGAUAGGAGCUCCUGCUGCAUGGUGGGGGUUGGAAAGUUUCGGCGGUUGGGGAUAGACUCGCGGCUUAUCAGCUUGUUGGUGGGGUAGUGGCUUACCAAGGCUUUGACGGGUAGCCGGCAUUGGAGGUUGACCGGCCACAUGGGGACUAAGAUACGGCGCAGCCUCCUACGGGAGGCAGCAGUGGGGAAUAUUGCACAAUGGGCGGAAGCCUGAUGCAGCAACGCCGCGUGCGGGAUGACGGCCUUCGGGGUGGAAACCGCUUUCGCCUGUGACGAAGCGUGAGUGACGGUAAUAGGUAAAGAAGCACCGGCUAACUACGUG